This 555-nucleotide long non-coding RNA is filed under the name Lotus japonicus. RNAcentral's name for it is "long non-coding RNA (LJAP_LNC001764)". The record is from RNAcentral. Lineage: Eukaryota; Viridiplantae; Streptophyta; Magnoliopsida; Fabales; Fabaceae.
CUCAACCAUGCAUCUUCAUGUCAACAUGCAUUUAAAAUAAAUACUUUUACACAUCAUUUGUAAACAAAAGUCCAUUCUUUUAUAAACUUAAUUCUAUCAAACAUUUUUAGAAUCGUAACGCGAAUACAUAAUCAAAGUAGAGAGAAACACACAAGACUUGGUCACACGGUUUGACCAAAUUACUUACGUCUGCGAGUGUAGAGUAGUUAAAGUUCAAUUUUAUUGAUUCGUUCUAUAUACAAUACUUAGGUUUAAUUCGGUGUUACAAACAUAUUUAUAUAGAGAUACUAAUGAUUCAGAUUACCACAAUACCUCUGGACUGUACCAAGGAGGCAAAGCCCCUCGCACCCCCCACAUCCCAAAUCGUACUCCAAAACAGUUGGGCCAAACGCAAGGGCGAGGCUCGCUGCGGUCGCUCGCCCAUUGAUCGUACCCAUGAGCCAUACUAAAAAACAUAAUUAUAUUUAUAUAGCAAACUUUAUUUUUCCCAACCUAAUUUUACCCAACGAUAAACACCCUUAGUAGUGAGGGAUUUUAAUCAAAAUUAUGUUGAAC